GAUGAAGAACGUAGCGAAAUGCGAUAAGUAAUGUGAAUUGCAGAAUUCAGUGAAUCAUCGAAUCUUUGAACGCACAUUGCGCCCGCCAGUAUUCUGGCGGGCAUGCCUGUUCGAGCGUCAUUUCAACCAUCAAGCCCCAGGCUUGUGUUGGGGACCUGCGGCUGCCGCAGGCCCCGAAAAUCAGUGGCGGGCUCGCUAGUCACUCCGAGCGUAGUAAUACAUCUCGCUUUGGGCGUGCGGCGGGUUCUUGCCGUUAAACACCCCCUUUUUACCAAGGUUGACCUCGGAUCAGGUAGGAAUACCCGCUGAACUUAAGCAUAUCAAUAAGCGGAGGA
RNAcentral lists this unclassified non-coding RNA (335 nucleotides) under soil metagenome. RNAcentral describes it as "partial contains 5.8S ribosomal RNA, internal transcribed spacer 2, and large subunit ribosomal RNA". The stretch from base 1 to 120 matches the Rfam family "5.8S ribosomal RNA", at positions 35 to 154 of the family's 154-position model. The record is from RNAcentral.